This 66-nucleotide transfer RNA is filed under the name Hylomys suillus microtinus. RNAcentral's name for it is "tRNA-Cys". It matches the Rfam family "tRNA". From Rfam's summary of the family: Transfer RNA (tRNA) molecules are approximately 80 nucleotides in length. Their secondary structure includes four short double-helical elements and three loops (D, anti-codon, and T loops). RNAcentral also lists the same sequence under 1 other name. The record is from RNAcentral. Lineage: Eukaryota; Metazoa; Chordata; Mammalia; Eulipotyphla; Erinaceidae.
GGCUCUGAGGUGUAAAACAUAUUGAAUUGCAAAUUCAAAGAAGCAGCUUCAAUUCUGCCGGGGCCU